This is a long non-coding RNA of Cygnus olor (mute swan), 138 nucleotides long. RefSeq lists it as uncharacterized. Lineage: Eukaryota; Metazoa; Chordata; Aves; Anseriformes; Anatidae. The transcript is spliced from 2 exons. The record is from RefSeq and is a predicted model, not a curated record.
ACUUGUGUAUCUCUUAUCCUGAUACGUGGCUCCAGUCCAAUCAGCCACCUGAGGACAAACACAAGAAAUCAAAAUAAGAGCCUCGGGGCCCCUCACAGAGGAUGUGUCCUGACAAAAAUGGGGAACCUGUCUCAAAAA